RNAcentral lists this ribosomal RNA (381 nucleotides) under uncultured bacterium. RNAcentral describes it as "bacterial SSU rRNA". It matches the Rfam family "Bacterial small subunit ribosomal RNA", at positions 29 to 412 of the family's 1533-position model. The record is from RNAcentral.
AUUGAACGCUGGCGGAAUGCUUUACACAUGCAAGUCGAACGGCAGCACGGGGCAACCUGGUGGCGAGUGGCGAACGGGUGAGUAAUACAUCGGAACGUGCCCAAUCGUGGGGGAUAACGUAGCGAAAGUUACGCUAAUACCGCAUACGAUCUACGGAUGAAAGCGGGGGAUCGCAAGACCUCGCGCGAAUGGAGCGGCCGAUGUCAGGAUUAGGUAGUUGGUGGGGUAAAGGCUCACCAAGCCGACGAUCUGUAGCUGGUCUGAGAGGACGACCAGCCACACUGGGACUGAGACACGGCCCAGACUCCUACGGGAGGCAGCAGUGGGGAAUUUUGGACAAUGGGCGCAAGCCUGAUCCAGCCAUUCCGCGUGCAGGAUGAA